CUAGGGGCUCGGCGGGCGGGAGGAUCCGCGCUGCUGGGCUGGGAGGACCCGCGGGAAGGAGGAGGUGAACCACCUGGGGCGCAGUCCAGGUGGUGUCGUUCCACGUCGGAAGCUUUUCUGCAUUGAUGGUAUGAUGAAUUCGAUACACAGUGGUGAUGUUGAAGACCUGGUGGAGGAACACACAGAGGAACUGUCUACAGAACUUCAGCAACUUCUGGCUGAGCAACAGAGAAUGGCAGCUGAGGAGCUUUCUGGAGAGGAGGGGGAGGAUCAACAAUCAGUGCAGCAAAGUUCUUCUAAAAGAAAGGAAAUCCUGAAAAACUGGAUGGACUUUACAAUUGUAAGAAGACCAACUCAGACAGAGAAAAAGCCAAUCAUUGCACUCACUUGUUUAAUGAUGUCAUGUCAUACUAUAGAAUAGUGUUAAAGAAAAGACAGAAACAGAUAACCUUAGACCAGUUUUUAUUUCUUAAAAGGUUGAGACCUAGUGAGCCAGAAACAGGUCCUAGUGAGCUACAAACUCUCCCAAGGAGACAGGACGUCUUACGGAAGAGACUUUCCCUCCAAACAAUAUCCACCUUCCAUUUCAUCCUCCCUUCCUGCAAGCCAAAGAUGUCAACUUGCAUGGUGAGUACCAUAUGAAAUUUUUGUUUCUGUUAAACUAGGGACAUUUUGUAACUUUUUGGUGAAUACAUCAGGAAAAUUAUUGAUGUUCUGAUAAAUUAUGUACAUUAUACAAUUCUUUUUAUUAUGAAAAGGUUAGUUAUGGGAUGAUUUGGGAGGUUCAGAAUACAUUAUGGGUAUUUCCAUGUUUUCUUAUGGGAAAAUAGUCUUGACUUACAACCCCCUUGAGUUAUAUCCAAUCCUCCUGAGCAAAUUGAAUUGGUAAGUCAAGAAUAUGCUAUAACGAUGGCAUAGAGAAUAUACACACAAAACAGUAGAAGAUGUGAAUGCUUGGAAUUUGCAUGAAAUGCUGAAGAUUUUCAAUUAUAUGAAUUUAUCAAUAAAAUAAGUCAAAGCAACUUAAAUGUCUCUCUCUUCCCUUCUGCAUGUAUGUGUGUGUGUAUAAGUGAGGAUUAAACUCAGGGCCUUCACAUUUAGUUACACCCAGCGUUUUUUUUUUUUUUUUUUUUUUUUUUUUUUGUACCAGUGAUUGAACUCUGGUUCUUGUGCUUGUAAGGCAGACGGUGGAACCACUGAGCUAAACCCCGGGCCUACCCGCCCCAUCUCUUUUUACUUAAUUUUGAGACAGUCUCAUUAAACUGCUUCAAUUGGCCUCAAACUUGCAAUCCUCCUUAGCCUCCCAGAGUGCUGGGAUUAUAGGCAUGCUGUUCUCUCUGAUUAUGUGACCAAAUUACCAUAAGUGUUUAUAUUUACUUAUACAAAGUCCACCAGAAAAAUGUAUACACACUUCAGGAAAAGAAAAAUAGUAUUUUUUUUUUUAACAGAUGGUGUUAUCCUUGUAUGGGAGUCCCUAGAGGAUGGUGUAUAUCACAGAAAACCCACUACACUACCAGGUCUUAAAAGAAAUUGAAAAAUCCAUGCGCAGCAAUCUCAAUAGCCAAGGUUACCCAAACAACUGUUCACCAUAUUAAUAAAUGUAUGGAAGCUAAUGGCCACCAUUUUGAGCACCUCUUUAAAUU
Fukomys damarensis (Damara mole-rat) is the source of this 1643-nucleotide long non-coding RNA. The record is from Ensembl. NCBI's taxonomy places the organism in Eukaryota, Metazoa, Chordata, Mammalia, Rodentia, Bathyergidae.